Molecule: ribosomal RNA, 460 nt
Filed under: uncultured bacterium
Lineage: Bacteria
Description: partial 16S ribosomal RNA
Rfam family: Bacterial small subunit ribosomal RNA
Source: RNAcentral
CCUACGGGAGGCAGCAGUGAGGAAUAUUGGUCCAUGGACGAGAGUCUGAACCAGCCAAGUAGCGUGAAGGAUGACUGCCCUAUGGGUUGUAAACUUCUUUUAUAAAGGAAUAAAACGAGGCACGUGUGCCUUUUUGCAUGUACUUUAUGAAUAAGGAUCGGCUAACUCCGUGCCAGCAGCCGCGGUAAUACGGAGGAUCCGAGCGUUAUCCGGAUUUAUUGGGUUUAAAGGGAGCGUAGAUGGGUUGUUAAGUCAGUUGUGAAAGUUUGCGGCGCAACCGUAAAAUUGCAAUUGAUACUGGCAGUCGUGAGUACAGUUGAGGUAAGCGGAAUUCGUGGUGUAGCGGUGAAAUGCUUAGAUAUCACGAAGAACCCCGAUUGCGAAGGCAGCUUACUAAACUGUGACUGACAUUGAUGCUCGAAAGUGUGGGUAUCAAACAGGAUUAGAUACCCGAGUAGUC